RNAcentral lists this transfer RNA (81 nucleotides) under Dreissena polymorpha. It matches the Rfam family "tRNA". From Rfam's summary of the family: Transfer RNA (tRNA) molecules are approximately 80 nucleotides in length. Their secondary structure includes four short double-helical elements and three loops (D, anti-codon, and T loops). Further hydrogen bonds mediate the characteristic L-shaped molecular structure. tRNAs have two regions of fundamental functional importance: the anti-codon, which is responsible for specific mRNA codon recognition, and the 3' end, to which the tRNAs corresponding amino acid is attached (by aminoacyl-tRNA synthetases). tRNAs cope with the degeneracy of the genetic code in two manners: having more than one tRNA (with a specific anti-codon) for a particular amino acid; and 'wobble' base-pairing, i.e. permitting non-standard base-pairing at the 3rd anti-codon position. Lineage: Eukaryota; Metazoa; Mollusca; Bivalvia; Myida; Dreissenidae. The record is from Rfam by way of RNAcentral.
GUUGUCGUGGCCGAGUGUUUAAGGCGAUAGUCUAGAUUUUUUUGGGAUCUUCCCGCGGAGGUUCGAAUCCUGCCGACAACG